Long non-coding RNA from Cataglyphis hispanica, 1965 nucleotides. RefSeq lists it as uncharacterized. Lineage: Eukaryota; Metazoa; Arthropoda; Insecta; Hymenoptera; Formicidae. The transcript has 7 exons. The record is from RefSeq and is a predicted model, not a curated record.
GAUUUUUGGAUUCAAGAUGAAAAAUAACUCUCGCAUGCGGUCACGAAAAUAAUUAUUAUAUACAAAAAUAAUUAAGAAAAUAAAAAAGAAUUAUUUAGUUACACAUUUUCCCCUAUUAUGUAUUGAUUUAUUUUAUUAAACAAAAUAUUAUGUGUAAAAUUAUGCUUUUUCGCUAUUUGAGGACAAAAUUAAAAGUACUGUUAUCAUUUAUGAAAUCACUUCUAUUUUCGAGUCUUAUACGUAAAAUUCUUUUUUAUAAUGAUUAACACUAUCGAGCGAAAUUCAAACUAACGGAUUUGACGACAUAUCGUCGUAACAUGCUAUCGCCUUUCAGAAUUUGAUAACAUUUGACACUGACGGCUUUAAGUCCGGAAAUUGAUCAUAUGUAUAUCAUGGAGAUGAAUCUGUAAAAUUUGCUGUGGUCUGAACAAAACAGUAUAAUUGAAUAAAAAUUUUCACCAGAUCAAAAUCGAUAUGUCAAGAGUGCAUCAUGUGCAAUGCAAAGAUAAAAAUAUGCAACUCAAGAUUAUAAAAGCAAGGAAAUAGACACCCACAUGCGCGUAACAUUCCAGCUGAAAGGUGUCUGAUAUAUUAAUUGACAAUGUUGAGACAGUAAUUGAACUACUUAUGAUACCUAAAAAAUAAAAACAUCUGGAACAUUGAGUGGACCGCAUUAAAUUUCCGUGAUAACAUAUCCUGUUGAAGUUGGACUGAAGACGGAGUACUCAAGAAAGCGAGAUUCAUAUGUAGAGGAAGCCCUCCACGUUCCCAGAUUAAUUUUUCGCACAGUGCUAUAUGCAAUCAUAGCAGAUGUGAAUGGUCGCAGUUCGCACACAGGCACAUGGCACACAGACGUCUAUAGCUAUAUUAGGCUGCGUUCGGAAACACUACUCGAUGGAGUUGCGUGAGUCGUGAUGGAGGAAUGAUGCAUCCUGGAUGCAAAUAGUUUCCGAACGGAGUUCGGAAUUUGAUCCUAUUUAGACAGAUUUGUAUAAUCAAACAUAUACAUUUCUUUAUGCAUUUGCUUAUAGAUCAAUUAAUUUCCUUAUGCAUAUUUUUAGGUGGCUAUGCAAAUCCGUCUGGAUAAGCCCUAAUGCUUGCCGAGCAAGAAGCGAUUCACGGUAACCAAUCAGUCUUUCGCUCUUAUAGAAAAGUUGUAAGUUGAUUGGCUGCCUUUUUCCGCGCGGCAAGCAAUACCGCGUUCUGUGUGUAGGAACCACUCUGUCGACUACAUCUUUAUUAUCAUCGCAAUGCAACUGCUGGUCUUCUUGGGAACGAGUCUCCUCGACAUUAGGACUGUCAUCGCUUCCCGAGGGCGAACUGUCCUGCGGAAUAUCGAUGCCGGCGUUCGACACUAUGCAAAGAUCGCCUCGCAACUCGCUGACCACAGCCGUAAUCUUCUGAGCAUCUGUCAACACUUCCACUGACUGGGUGUACGGAUUGUAGCGCACCCCAAAUGGUCGUUGAAUCUGAUUAGCAAACGCUCUGGAAGUAAUAUGAAUGUUAAUACGAUCUCUUAUUUGAUUUCGAAGAAAAAAAAGGAAUCACGUUUGAACGAAAAAAUCGGACGCGAGCAACAGAGUGUGGCGGUACCAUCCUUAACAGGUCCUCUUAAGAUCUCGGCCUCCCCCGCUUGUGCUCGUCUUUCUCAAUGACGAUCUUGCCGUGAUUGGGCGGUGCACGGUGGCACCAGCGAUUCCCAUUGGUCGGAUAAAACUUUUCAUGGGGUUGAAGACAAGUGUUGGCUCACCCCGUUUAACGGCAAGUGGUGCCGGUCCUUGAAUGUAUUUUCUACAAGUGACGUCACUGGAGCGAAUGAUACGAGCACUGAUACUGAAGAGUACGCGCAAAAAUUGCAAGAUCUUCAAUAAAUAAGAUACAACAAGGUGUUUUUAUUUUUACAAUAAAUUUUUAUCUGAGAAAUAAAACGCAAUGUUUUGUGCGUAAAAAAAGAGAAAAGAUGGA